RNAcentral lists this ribosomal RNA (250 nucleotides) under uncultured bacterium. Its description in RNAcentral is "partial 16S ribosomal RNA". It matches the Rfam family "Bacterial small subunit ribosomal RNA", at positions 527 to 776 of the family's 1533-position model. The record is from RNAcentral.
GUAGGUGGCAAGCGUUGUCCGGAUUUACUGGGCGUAAAGAGCGCGCAGGCGGUCGUUCAAGUCGCGUGUGAAAGCCCCCGGCUCAACUGGGGAGGGUCACGCGAUACUGAUCGACUCGAAGGCAGGAGAGGGUAGUGGAAUUCCCGGUGUAGUGGUGAAAUGCGUAGAUAUCGGGAGGAACACCAGUGGCGAAGGCGACUACCUGGCCUGUUCUUGACGCUGAGGCGCGAAAGCUAGGGGAGCAAACGGG